Molecule: ribosomal RNA, 546 nt
Filed under: uncultured bacterium
Lineage: Bacteria
Description: bacterial SSU rRNA
Rfam family: Bacterial small subunit ribosomal RNA
Source: RNAcentral
GGGGAAUAUUGCGCAAUGGGGGCAACCCUGACGCAGCCAUGCCGCGUGAAUGAAGAAGGCCUUCGGGUUGUAAAGUUCUUUCGGUAGCGAGGAAGGCAUUUAGUUUAAUAGACUAAGUGAUUGACGUUAACUACAGAAGAAGCACCGGCUAACUCCGUGCCAGCAGCCGCGGUAAUACGGAGGGUGCGAGCGUUAAUCGGAAUAACUGGGCGUAAAGGGCACGCAGGCGGUGACUUAAGUGAGGUGUGAAAGCCCCGGGCUUAACCUGGGAAUUGCAUUUCAUACUGGGUCGCUAGAGUACUUUAGGGAGGGGUAGAAUUCCACGUGUAGCGGUGAAAUGCGUAGAGAUGUGGAGGAAUACCGAAGGCGAAGGCAGCCCCUUGGGAAUGUACUGACGCUCAUGUGCGAAAGCGUGGGGAGCAAACAGGAUUAGAUACCCUGGUAGUCCACGCUGUAAACGAUGUCGAUUUGGGGGUUGAGCUUUAAGCUUGGCGCCCGUAGCUAACGUGAUAAAUCGACCGCCUGGGGAGUACGGCCGCAAGGUUA